Long non-coding RNA from Sphaerodactylus townsendi, 102 nucleotides. RefSeq lists it as uncharacterized. The record is from RefSeq and is a predicted model, not a curated record. The transcript has 3 exons. NCBI's taxonomy places the organism in Eukaryota, Metazoa, Chordata, Lepidosauria, Squamata, Sphaerodactylidae.
AGCAGGAGGUAAACAGAUGAAAUGUUUUAAAAUUGUAAAUCUCUCUCUCUAAAAGAAUCUGCUGAUAAUAAGAAAUUGGAAACAUAAAAAAGUAUAGAAACA